UACGUAGGGGGCAAGCGUUGUCCGGAAUUAUUGGGCGUAAAGGGCACGCAGGCGGUUCUCUAAGUCUGAUGUGAAAUCUCGCGGCUCAACCGCGAGCGGUCAUUGGAAACUGGAGAACUGGAGUGCAGGAGAGGAGAGCGGAAUUCCACGUGUAGCGGUGAAAUGCGUAGAGAUGUGGAGGAACACCAGUGGCGAAGGCGGCUCUCUGGCCUGAAACUGACGCUGAGGUGCGAAAGCGUGGGGAGCGAACAGG
This 253-nucleotide ribosomal RNA is filed under the name uncultured bacterium. RNAcentral's name for it is "partial 16S ribosomal RNA". It matches the Rfam family "Bacterial small subunit ribosomal RNA", at positions 524 to 776 of the family's 1533-position model. The record is from RNAcentral.